GACGAACGCUGGCGGCGUGCUUAACACAUGCAAGUCGAACGGAAAGGCCCUGCUUUUGUGGGGUGCUCGAGUGGCGAACGGGUGAGUAACACGUGAGUAACCUGCCCUUGACUUUGGGAUAACUUCAGGAAACUGGGGCUAAUACCGGAUAGGAGCUCCUGCUGCAUGGUGGGGGUUGGAAAGUUUCGGCGGUUGGGGAUGGACUCGCGGCUUAUCAGCUUGUUGGUGGGGUAGUGGCUUACCAAGGCUUUGACGGGUAGCCGGCCUGAGAGGGUGACCGGCCCCAUGGGACCUGGGUUCCGCCCCAGCUCCUUCCGGAGGCCAGAGGUGGGAAUAUUUCCCAAAUGGCCGAAGCCUGAAUCCAGAACCCCGCGGUGCGGAUUACCGCCUUCGGGGUUGAAACCGCUUUCGCCUGGGACGAAGCGGGAGUGACGGUAAUGGGGAAAGAAGAACCGGCUAACUACGUG
Molecule: ribosomal RNA, 467 nt
Filed under: uncultured bacterium
Lineage: Bacteria
Description: partial 16S ribosomal RNA
Rfam family: Bacterial small subunit ribosomal RNA
Source: RNAcentral